RNAcentral lists this ribosomal RNA (758 nucleotides) under uncultured archaeon. RNAcentral's name for it is "bacterial SSU rRNA". It matches the Rfam family "Archaeal small subunit ribosomal RNA", at positions 102 to 859 of the family's 1478-position model. The record is from RNAcentral.
GGAUAACCUACCCUUUAGGACUGGGAUAACCCUGGGAAACUGGGGCUAAUACCGGAUAGGCAAUUUUUCCUGGAAUGGUUUUUUGUUUAAAUGUUUUUUCGCCUAAGGAUGGGUCUGCGGCCGAUUAGGUAGUUGGUUAGGUAAUGGCUUACCAAGCCGUUGAUCGGUACGGGUUGUGAGAGCAAGAGCCCGGAGAUGGAACCUGAGACAAGGUUCCAGGCCCUACGGGGUGCAGCAGGCGCGAAACCUCCGCAAUGUGAGAAAUCGCGACGGGGGGAUCCCAAGUGCCAUUCUUAACGGGAUGGCUUUUCAUUAGUGUAAAGAGCUUUUGGAAUAAGAGCUGGGCAAGACCGGUGCCAGCCGCCGCGGUAACACCGGCAGCUCUAGUGGUAACAAUUUUUAUUGGGCCUAAAGCGUCCGUAGCCGGUUUAAUAAGUCUCUGGUGAAAUCCUGUAGCUUAACUGUGGGAAUUGCUGGAGAUACUAUUAGACUUGAGACCGGGAGAGGUUAGAGGUACUCCCAGGGUAGAGGUGAAAUUCUGUAAUCCUGGGAGGACCGCCUGUUGCGAAGGCGUCUAACUGGAACGGUUCUGACGGUGAGGGACGAAAGUUAGGGGCGCGAACCGGAUUAGAUACCCGGGUAGUCCUAACUGUAAACGAUGCGGACUUGGUGUUGGGGUGGCUUUGAGCUGCUCCAGUGCCGAAGGGAAGCUGUUAAGUCCGCCGCCUGGGAAGUACGGUCGCAAGACUGAAACUUAA